Molecule: ribosomal RNA, 327 nt
Filed under: uncultured bacterium #0319-2J11
Lineage: Bacteria; Pseudomonadati; Pseudomonadota; Alphaproteobacteria
Description: bacterial SSU rRNA
Rfam family: Bacterial small subunit ribosomal RNA
Source: RNAcentral
GGAUUUACUGGGCGUAAAGGGCGCGCAGGCGGCUCAUUUUNUCAGGCGUGAAAGCCCCGGGCUUAACCUGGGAACUGCGUUUGAUACGGAUGGGCUAGAGUUCGGGAGAGGAGAGUGGAAUUCCCAGUGUAGAGGUGAAAUUCGUAGAUAUUGGGAAGAACACCGGUGGCGAAGGCGGCUUUCUGGACCGAUACUGACGCUGAGGCGCGAAAGCGUGGGGAGCAAACAGGAUUAGAUACCCUGGUANUCCACGCUGUAAACGAUGUGUGCUAGACGUUGGGGAGCCUAGCUACUUCGGUGUCGCAGCUAACGCGGUAAGCACACCGC